GCAAACUUGGUCAUUUAGAGGAAGUAAAAGUCGUAACAAGGUUUCCGUAGGUGAACCUGCGGAAGGAUCAUUGCUGAGCGUGGUGUCCUGUCUCGCGCAAGCGAGAGAGGCACCUUUCUCACCAACACCCAUGUGAACUCGUGAAUGUGACUGGAGCCACACACUGCGCACACACACGUGUGCUGCUGUGUUGUUGGUAUCCUUUUUAAACAAUCACCCCAACAAUUGUCUUCUCUGACUGAGAUAAACGUUGUCGUCGUCGGCGUGUGUCGUCGUCUUCGGACGCGCUGCGCUUUCGGUGACACAAAAACAAGACAAACUAUCACAACUUUUAACAACGGAUAUCUUGGCUCGCGCAUCGAUGAAGAACGCAGC
RNAcentral lists this unclassified non-coding RNA (375 nucleotides) under uncultured fungus. Its description in RNAcentral is "partial contains small subunit ribosomal RNA, internal transcribed spacer 1, and 5.8S ribosomal RNA". The stretch from base 1 to 73 matches the Rfam family "Eukaryotic small subunit ribosomal RNA", at positions 1759 to 1831 of the family's 1831-position model. Lineage: Eukaryota; Fungi. The record is from RNAcentral.